This 207-nucleotide ribosomal RNA is filed under the name uncultured bacterium. Its description in RNAcentral is "partial 16S ribosomal RNA". It matches the Rfam family "Bacterial small subunit ribosomal RNA", at positions 568 to 774 of the family's 1533-position model. The record is from RNAcentral.
CGUGCAGGUGGAUUGUUAAGUCACUUAUGAAAGCUCCCGGCUAAACUGGGAGAGGCUGAGUGAAACUGGCAGUCUUGAGUAGAGGAGAGGUAGACGGAAUUCCGCGUGUAGUGGUGAAAUGCGUAGAGAUGCGGAAGAACACCGGUGGCGAAGGCGGUCUACUGGCCUCUAACUGACACUCAGACGCGAAAGCAUGGGUAGCGAACG